GYAWGURGCUUUAUUCCAAWWCCAMUUUUUUCCCAAAAGCCCCCYYUAAGGGWGWGAURRAUWUUUUUYKKRRRGRSCCUUAGAGUUUGAUCCUGGCUCAGAACGAACGCUGGCGGCGUGYUUAACACAUGCAAGUCGAACGUGAUCCAGAGCUUGCUCUGGUGAAAGUGGCGCACGGGUGAGUAACGCGUGGAUAACCUGCCCUGGUAUCUGGGAUAACAUCUCGAAAGGGGUGCUAAUACCGGAUAAGCCUACGGGAUCUUCGGAUUCUGCAGGAAAAGGAGGCCUCUAUUUAUAAGCUACCGUAUCAGGAUGAGUCCGCGUACCAUUAGCUAGUUGGUGGGGUAAUGGCCCACCAAGGCUACGAUGGUUAGCUGGUCUGGGAGGAUGAUCAGCCACACUGGAACUGAGACACGGUCCAGACUCCUACGGGAGGCAGCAGUGGGGAAUUUUGCGCAAUGGGGGAAACCCUGACGCAGCAACGCCGCGUGAGUGAUGAAGGCUUUCGGGUCGUAAAGCUCUGUCAGAGGGGAAGAAAUGAGUCUGGCUAAUAUCCAGAUUUCUUGACGGUACCCUCAAAGGAAGCACCGGCUAACUACGUGCCAGCAGCCGCGGUAAUAC
Molecule: ribosomal RNA, 621 nt
Filed under: uncultured Geobacteraceae bacterium
Lineage: Bacteria; Pseudomonadati; Thermodesulfobacteriota; Desulfuromonadia; Geobacterales; Geobacteraceae
Description: bacterial SSU rRNA
Rfam family: Bacterial small subunit ribosomal RNA (bases 75-621)
Source: RNAcentral